This 443-nucleotide ribosomal RNA is filed under the name uncultured bacterium. RNAcentral's name for it is "partial 16S ribosomal RNA". It matches the Rfam family "Bacterial small subunit ribosomal RNA", at positions 338 to 795 of the family's 1533-position model. The record is from RNAcentral.
CCUACGGGAGGCAGCAGUGGGGAAUAUUGGGCAAUGGAGGCAACUCUGACCCAGCAACGCCGCGUGAGUGAUGAAGGUCUUCGGAUUGUAAAACUCUUUAAGUGGGGACGAAGAAAGUGACUGUACCCACAGAAUAAGCCUCGGCUAACUACGUGCCAGCAGCCGCGGUAAUACGUAGGUGGCGAGCGUUAUCCGGAAUGAUUGGGCGUAAAGGUUGCGCAGGCGGUCCUGCAAGUCUGGAGUGAAACGUAUGAGCUCAACUCAUGCAUGGCUCUGGAAACUGGAGGACUGGAGAGCAGGAGAGGGCGGUGGAACUCCAUGUGUAGCGGUAAAAUGCGUAGAUAUAUGGAAGAACACCAGUGGCGAAGGCGGCCGCCUGGCCUGUUGCUGACGCUGAGGCACGAAAGCGUGGGGAGCAAAUAGGAUUAGAUACCCCGGUAGUC